Molecule: transfer RNA, 87 nt
Filed under: Candidatus Thorarchaeota archaeon
Lineage: Archaea; Promethearchaeati; Candidatus Thorarchaeota
Description: tRNA-Leu
Rfam family: tRNA
About the family: Transfer RNA (tRNA) molecules are approximately 80 nucleotides in length. Their secondary structure includes four short double-helical elements and three loops (D, anti-codon, and T loops). Further hydrogen bonds mediate the characteristic L-shaped molecular structure. tRNAs have two regions of fundamental functional importance: the anti-codon, which is responsible for specific mRNA codon recognition, and the 3' end, to which the tRNAs corresponding amino acid is attached (by aminoacyl-tRNA synthetases). tRNAs cope with the degeneracy of the genetic code in two manners: having more than one tRNA (with a specific anti-codon) for a particular amino acid; and 'wobble' base-pairing, i.e. permitting non-standard base-pairing at the 3rd anti-codon position.
Source: RNAcentral
GGCCCCUUGGCGAAAUGGCAGACGCAGUGGGCUUAAAACCCGCGGCCUCUCGUGGGCGUCCCGGUUCAAGUCCGGGAGGGGCUACCA